GGGCUUCUUGUCCAAGUUGGCUUAAAAGUGAAGCAAGAAAAAAUUCCUUCUUUAUCUUGUAAAUAGCAGUUUGACAAAACAAUCCCAAAUUGAGGUCCUCUUACUAGCUUUUAUCAUACAAAUGCAUCUGUUGAAAUACAAGGUCCAGAAUGAACUUUCACUCUUCACUAAGCCAACAUGUAUAAGAUAGUCCUUAAAUCAACAGCUAUUGAUCCAUUGGUUGGCUGGGGGAAGACCCCGUAAUAUGAUUGAAAGCUCUGGAAAAAGCUGGAGGAACAUUUACAGUAACGAGGAACCUGGGAACAGGAUUUACCGUUCCAUAUGCCCCCCAAUGACAUUACUUCAAGUGAUGAUGAUGACAGCCAUAAAUCGGUCCUGAUGGCCCACAACAGUUAAAACCUGCAUGGGAUUUGUUUUGCACACCACUGGCUAACCAAGGCUUGCUUAAUAAACCAUUUCAUCACUUUCAA
Thunnus maccoyii (southern bluefin tuna) is the source of this 470-nucleotide long non-coding RNA. RefSeq lists it as uncharacterized. NCBI's taxonomy places the organism in Eukaryota, Metazoa, Chordata, Actinopteri, Scombriformes, Scombridae. The transcript is spliced from 2 exons. The record is from RefSeq and is a predicted model, not a curated record.